ACAAAUCCCAUGAAGCCCCGCUCACUUGCACACUGUUCGAGAAAUGCGUCUUAAAAUUUAGGCUCUUGCAACUUCUCAUGUCAGUUGUCUUUAGACACCUUUCCACAUUUUAAGCAAAAUUGGCUUUCCGCUUUCGGGAGCGUGUGAGAGAUACUUCUACUUCUAUUCACACUGCGUGACUGCAGUUGCUAUUUAAUUCUGAUGUUUUCAGCUCAUCUUCAGCUGCUGAAGGACCAUGCAGAGCACCAGGUCAGGCAGCAGCGAGCUGGAGUUCAUCACAUUCUCCCCGCUUGCUCACUUUAGUAACACUGAUUUGGGCACAAUUAGCAAGCCAACCGGAGACUUGCAUCAUCUGACAGGUGGAUCUAUGCCAAAUACUUGGGAUAGAAGAUGCACGAGGAAGCAGAGGAGAAGGACAGAUGAUGAAAGCUGCAGUCCUAAACGGCGAAAGCUGAUGGGAAAGGAAGGAGCAGAUGACUAUCCAAGUCCUAAAGUGAGCCAAAGAUGGUCUGUGGACUCUACCACCACUUCCCCUUCUGAGACCAGCCCGGUUCAACUGCAGACUGAACCCAGGACAGAGGAGAUGGGUCUGCCCUUCACAUCCACUCCCUCUCCACUACCCAGAGUUCCCACAGAAGGCUCAGGCAUGGAGGUAGAGGCCACUCAGAGGAGAUUGCAAGAGAUAGAAGACAGGAUAACUUUGGAGGAUGAUAGCGAUGAAGAAGAGCUUGAUGUGGAACCGGCUCAGCGCAGACCAGUGCUGGUGAUGUCCGACAGCUUAAAGGAGGGGCUACAACGUGGGAUUGGUGACAUUCUGCCCCAUACGGUAGCACAGUCGGUGAGCUGCUCUUGUAUGGAAUUGGUGUUGUGGCGCCCCCCAGAGGACCCUCUCACCCAGAGGCUGAAGGACUCUUUACAGAGACAGCAGCGCAAGCAGUUGGCAGUGAGCAGACAGACUCCCACCCCUGUACCGCCUAUCAGCAGCCCCCCACCCAAGCCCCAGUUCACUGCACCCAAUGAGCAGACUUUUAGCCCCCUGUUCAGCAGCCCAGCGCUCCUCAACUCUGGAGAGGAAGACAUGGAGUUAUAGAGGGAAAUCUCUGAGUACUUCAUCUCAAACCUUUGCAUCCCAUGUGUGAAAAAAAACCUUGAACUUUAUCAGUGCAAAUGAGGAAUUACCAUAAGGAGCGGAGCAUAACGAGCACUUCACAAAUCCUCUCAUGAGAUUUUUCUUGUGCCAUGCAUCUUUGUUUCAACCUGCACUUUUUUUUGUAGGUGGGACCAUAUUUGCACUAGACUAAAUGGGAAGUAUACUAUGUGAACGUGGUCAGUUUUUCACCCCUCUGCGGUACAUUGGUUGAAUGUGCAGUUGCAACUUCAUAUUCACUCUGUUUGUGUUACUGGUUAACAAUGCAAGAAUAUUUAAGUUUUGUCUUUAUGCAGUUAGUAUUAUUGCAGAGUACUAGUAUACUUUGUACAGAUUCAGAGUGCUUGAUUUGUUACAAUCUGCCACAUUAUUUACAUGUAAUAUUUGCUUUUUUGCAGACAGCCAACUGCUCAAAACCUGAGACUCCUUUUGUUUUUUUGGUCCUCAUGGUGUCCAUAUUGAUUUUUUUUUUUAAAGAUUCUGUAGUGAUGGAAAAUUAUGACUGAGUAAUUUCAUGAAAGGAAUGGGUGCUUGAUGUAGGAAGGGUUGCCAUGUUCUUUUGAACUGGACAGACAGAGACGGCAGCACUCAUCUUUAUAGCCGGUUUAACUAUAUACACAACAGAAAAAUUAUUAUUGGAGGAGAUGCAUGGGCAUACAAAUUGAAAUCUAUUGAUUUCAGUCGUUCAUAUUACCUGGCUCAGUUUUUCUAAUGGAAAAACAAACAGCACUAAUUCUGGCUGUAAUUCUUAAACAACAGUAAAAUAAGCUGGAAAUCCAUUUUACCUGCAGUUUAAACAUUGGCCUAAAUUAUUGUUUAAACGUUUUGCAACUUAUACAUUUUGCUAGAUGUCAAAAUCGAAAAUGUGUAAAUAUUGACUAUAUCACACUAUUACAAAGACAGACUUGUUUUUAAAUAAAAUCAGUUU
Sinocyclocheilus grahami is the source of this 2075-nucleotide long non-coding RNA. Ensembl annotates it as coiled-coil domain-containing protein 117-like. NCBI's taxonomy places the organism in Eukaryota, Metazoa, Chordata, Actinopteri, Cypriniformes, Cyprinidae. The record is from Ensembl.